RNAcentral lists this ribosomal RNA (1700 nucleotides) under Campylobacter jejuni. RNAcentral describes it as "partial 23S ribosomal RNA". It matches the Rfam family "Bacterial large subunit ribosomal RNA", at positions 1244 to 2925 of the family's 2925-position model. Lineage: Bacteria; Pseudomonadati; Campylobacterota; Epsilonproteobacteria; Campylobacterales; Campylobacteraceae. The record is from RNAcentral.
UUUGCGUCGAAGGUAUACCGGUAAGGAGUGCUGGAGCGAAUAGAAGUGAGCAUGCAGGCAUGAGUAGCGAUAAUUAAUGUGAGAAUCAUUAACGCCGUAAACCCAAGGUUUCCUACGCGAUGCUCGUCAUCGUAGGGUUAGUCGGGUCCUAAGUCGAGUCCGAAAGGGGUAGACGAUGGCAAAUUGGUUAAUAUUCCAAUACCAACAUUAGUGUGCGAUGGAAGGACGCUUAGGGCUAAGGGGGCUAGCGGAUGGAAGUGCUAGUCUAAGGUCGUAGGAGGUUAUACAGGCAAAUCCGUAUAACAAUACUCCGAGAACUGAAAGGCUUUUUGAAGUCUUCGGAUGGAUAGAAGAACCCCUGAUGCCGUCGAGCCAAGAAAAGUUUCUAAGUUUAGCUAAUGUUGCCCGUACCGUAAACCGACACAGGUGGGUGGGAUGAGUAUUCUAAGGCGCGUGGAAGAACUCUCUUUAAGGAACUCUGCAAAAUAGCACCGUAUCUUCGGUAUAAGGUGUGGUUAGCUUUGUAUUAGGAUUUACUCCGAAAGCAAGGAAACUUACAACAAAGAGUCCCUCCCGACUGUUUACCAAAAACACAGCACUCUGCUAACUCGUAAGAGGAUGUAUAGGGUGUGACGCCUGCCCGGUGCUCGAAGGUUAAUUGAUGGGGUUAGCAUUAGCGAAGCUCUUGAUCGAAGCCCGAGUAAACGGCGGCCGUAACUAUAACGGUCCUAAGGUAGCGAAAUUCCUUGUCGGUUAAAUACCGACCUGCAUGAAUGGCGUAACGAGAUGGGAGCUGUCUCAAAGAGGGAUCCAGUGAAAUUGUAGUGGAGGUGAAAAUUCCUCCUACCCGCGGCAAGACGGAGAGACCCCGUGGACCUUUACUACAGCUUGACACUGCUACUUGGAUAAGAAUGUGCAGGAUAGGUGGGAGGCUUUGAGUAUAUGACGCCAGUUGUAUAUGAGCCAUUGUUGAGAUACCACUCUUUCUUAUUUGGGUAGCUAACCAGCUUGAGUUAUCCUCAAGUGGGACAAUGUCUGGUGGGUAGUUUGACUGGGGCGGUCGCCUCCCAAAUAAUAACGGAGGCUUACAAAGGUUGGCUCAGAACGGUUGGAAAUCGUUCGUAGAGUAUAAAGGUAUAAGCCAGCUUAACUGCAAGACAUACAAGUCAAGCAGAGACGAAAGUCGGUCUUAGUGAUCCGGUGGUUCUGUGUGGAAGGGCCAUCGCUCAAAGGAUAAAAGGUACCCCGGGGAUAACAGGCUGAUCUCCCCCAAGAGCUCACAUCGACGGGGAGGUUUGGCACCUCGAUGUCGGCUCAUCGCAUCCUGGGGCUGGAGCAGGUCCCAAGGGUAUGGCUGUUCGCCAUUUAAAGCGGUACGCGAGCUGGGUUCAGAACGUCGUGAGACAGUUCGGUCCCUAUCUGCCGUGGGCGUAAGAAGAUUGAAGAGAUUUGACCCUAGUACGAGAGGACCGGGUUGAACAAACCACUGGUGUAGCUGUUGUUCUGCCAAGAGCAUCGCAGCGUAGCUAAGUUUGGAAAGGAUAAACGCUGAAAGCAUCUAAGCGUGAAGCCAACUCUAAGAUAAAUCUUCUCUAAGCUCUCUAGAAGACUACUAGUUUGAUAGGCUGGGUGUGUAAUGGAUGAAAGUCCUUUAGCUGACCAGUACUAAUAGAGCGUUUGGCUUAUCUUUAAUAAAGCAU